Molecule: long non-coding RNA, 404 nt
Organism: Mauremys mutica (yellowpond turtle)
Lineage: Eukaryota; Metazoa; Chordata; Testudines; Geoemydidae
Exons: 3
Source: RefSeq, a predicted model, not a curated record
AGGAAUGCCCUUUCAGGAGCUGUAGGGUCAGAGAGAACUGGGGGAAAGGGUUCUCUACAGUAGCCAGACAGAAAGACUUGAGUGGAAUUGUGCAAUGAGGGGCAGAAGCCUUAAGAAGCUUGAGGAAACUCCAGGGAGCAAGAUCUGUGUUUUGUGAAAGAACUGUUGAGCUCAGCAAAGGACUGAAUUAACGGCAUUUGGGGUAAUAGAAAAGGUUUAUGAAAGCUGUUUUCUGGAGGCUUAUGGUCUGCAUCAUCAUCACUGAUCACAUCUCCACCAUGCAGAUGUCUUCAGAAGAUGGACACUUCUUGCUGGCCCCAGAAUGCCUGCUAGCACAAUAGCAGCAGCAGACAGUCUACAUGUUGUGCUCUCUCUGUAUUGUUGUAGUUGUUUAUAAUUCUCGG